UGGCUUUUAUGGUUCUUGAGUGAUUGAUUUUUGGAUUUUCAUCUUGGUUGUUGAAUGUUAUUUGCUUUUUGUGUGUGUGUGUGUGUGGAUUUCAUGGUUCUUGAGUUUAAUCUGAUUCAAUAAUGAAUUCUUGAAAGUUAGUAUAGUUUUUCAUAUUGAAUUUACAUGUGGAAACUACUUUUGAUGUUGACUUUUAUGUUAUAAGCAUUCUAGGUGGAAAAGUUAUUUAAAAAUUGUUAUAUAUAACUUAAAUCCUUUUGGUUUUUGUCAUUUCAGGCAUUUAUG
This 285-nucleotide long non-coding RNA is filed under the name Solanum tuberosum (potato). RNAcentral describes it as "long non-coding RNA (STUB_LNC007053)". Lineage: Eukaryota; Viridiplantae; Streptophyta; Magnoliopsida; Solanales; Solanaceae. The record is from RNAcentral.